Molecule: long non-coding RNA, 1603 nt
Filed under: Panax ginseng (ginseng)
Lineage: Eukaryota; Viridiplantae; Streptophyta; Magnoliopsida; Apiales; Araliaceae
Description: long non-coding RNA (PGIN_LNC018278)
Source: RNAcentral
UCCCCCAAUUACCCAAGACAAGUCAGAUGCUUCUGAUUACCAGCAUCCGCUAGUCUUACUGGCGGACGGAUAUUGGGGAGACCGUAGCGAUUUGGGUAAAAUGCGAUUUCUCUGCGAUUUGGGCGAAUAAAGGGGUAGCGAUUUGGGCGAACUACGAUUUGGGUGAACAAAGGGGUUACGCUACAGAGGUAAUACGCUUAAGCUUAUAGUGCAAUUUGGGCGAACUGCUUCAAUGGAAAAUCACAGCACAUCAGAGGUAUGUUGAGUUUAUUUGAGAUUUUCGUAAAAUUGGUGGGUUACUAUACAUGGCUUGAAACAUUUAUCUAUGUUAAUGAAUUUCUUACGGCACUCAUUGCUGAAACCGGAGCGACCAGAUAUUCAUUUAUGUUGCAGAUUAAUGAAGGUUGAAGAUUGGCUUGUAACUGUGCUAAACAUCGCAGGUCAUCCAAUAUUAUUCUUGUAAUAGCAAUUGGGGUUGUGGGUCUCUUUGUCGGGUGGCUGAUUGAGUUAGUUACCCAUUUUAGGACAUUUUCAUUUUCUGCAGAGUUCUCUUUAAAUAUACUUCAAAGGUGAGUUACCAUCUCAUAUCUUAAUAAAGAAUGCCGUUUUUUGUUUAGAAUUUGAUUUUCUUAAGCUAGAGAUACAAUUAGCUUGUGCAAUAAAAGUUUUGUAUGGAUAGAUAUUUGCAUCAUAGUUGUUCUUGUUCGGAGGUGCUUGGAAAUCUUCUAGUUGUAUGUAUAAAUCAUAAUGGAGCAUCUCCUUAAAUAAUGAUUGUAAUGGAGCUUAGCAUUAACUGCAGUUGGCUAAGUCUUAAGGUAUGGAUUCAAAAUGUUAUCAAGCCUUUUUUAAAGCGUUUCCGCUGGGGUUUCAUACUAGCAGGGUUGACUGCACUCGCAAUGGCUGCCAUAAGCUGGGAACUUGAAACCAGUGAAAAUUACUGGAUUUGGCGCAGGUAUGAUAAAAAUCACAAGCCUCUUUCUCUAUCUCUACACACACACAUAAAUAUCUCAUACUUUCAUAAACUGGUUUUUUAGUAUGUGGCAUAUUUCCAUAUACACUUCUUCCUUUCUCUUCCUCUGUUCAGAAGCAAAACUGGUAGAUGGUGAGGAUCAGAGACCUCCAGCUGUGAACUAUGAGUUAACUCGAUAAGAUUCAUUCUCGAGAGGGCAUUAGAAAAAGGGGUAUAUCAGGUAGAUUAUUUGAAAAAUCGAGUUAAGAGGAAGAAUUAUUUUCACAGAAUAUAGACUGGAGCCUGUAGGUGCCGAUGCAAAAUGAGACAAUUUGAUUGCAUCAACUGAAGGAGAAAUGUCAACAGUUUUCUCUUGUAUAUUAUUUACAUAACGAGUUAUGUCCUUUAGGGGAGUUAAAUAACUACACAUGAUCACUUUUUUAUUCGUAGACAUUUCUCUAGUAGGAGGUAAGGCAAAAAUGUCAACAGAGCCUACUGAAGAGACUGAAUUAGAUAGGCAGCCAUAGUCUUUGUAAAUGGCAAGUGCUACAUAUAGUGUAUAUUUUGUUGUAGCUCCACAAUUUUGUAUUGUUUUUAUCAAUUAAAUGGUAGACAUAUUUAUUUAUUUAUUAGAGUUUGUGGUGUGACUUCUGC